AACUGAAGCCAGUUGGCUGCUGUGAGGACAAGGCAGAGCCAGUGCCUGGAGGAGCUGCCUACAAUGAACAUCAAGGAGAGGUGAAGGAGGGAAUUCGGCACUGCAACUGCCUGUGCUACACCGGAUGUUCACAGGAAACACCCUGUCAACACAUCACACAACCGGUGCUAUGUGGAGUAAGUGCCUGACUAGGGAAAUCCAAUUGCCCAGGAAUCCUGGAAGAGAUUAUGGACUGGCCAGAGGCAGGGAUUUGGAGCCUUGCCUGAGAAGGUGACUCAUGCCCAAAAUGCACCACCAUGUAAUGAGUUAUCAGAAGAUGCAAGAGGCUCUGCUGUAUUUACUGAUGGAACCUGCUGUGGUAGGAAACCAUUGGAAAGCUGCAGUGUGGAGUCCCACAGGACAAGUCAUUGAGACUGCUGAAGCACAAGCUGAAAAGAGAAGCAAUGGAGCAGCUUGGUGGGCACUGGCAUUCAGACAAAGUCAACCCAACACUGUGCAUUUUUGCACCCAUUGUGGGCUUACUGUCUGUGACUGCAGGCUAUGUUUUUUAUUUUGGUUCUAUAUCUCUAAGGUGCUGUAUUUGUGAAGACUGUAACAUCCUGCAUAGCUUCAUAUAAACCAGGGAGCAGUAGCAUACUUUGGAUAAGUGUGCACCGUCUGUGCAUGAG
Zonotrichia leucophrys gambelii is the source of this 668-nucleotide long non-coding RNA. RefSeq lists it as uncharacterized. The record is from RefSeq and is a predicted model, not a curated record. The transcript is spliced from 3 exons. Lineage: Eukaryota; Metazoa; Chordata; Aves; Passeriformes; Passerellidae.